RNAcentral lists this transfer RNA (76 nucleotides) under Butyricicoccus sp. AF22-28AC. RNAcentral describes it as "tRNA-Trp". It matches the Rfam family "tRNA". From Rfam's summary of the family: Transfer RNA (tRNA) molecules are approximately 80 nucleotides in length. The record is from RNAcentral. Lineage: Bacteria; Bacillati; Bacillota; Clostridia; Eubacteriales; Butyricicoccaceae.
GGGGGUAUAGUUCAACUGGUAGAGCAGCGGUCUCCAAAACCGAAGGUUGGGUGUUCGAUCCGUCCUGCCCCUGCCA